UACGUAGGGGGCAAGCGUUAUCCGGAUUCAUUGGGCGUAAAGCGCGUGUAGGCGGUCCGUUAGGUCGGGAGUUAAAUCCGGGGGCUCAACCCCCGCCCGCUCCCGAUACCGGCGGACUUGAGUCUGGUAGGGGAAAGUGGAAUUCCCAGUGUAGCGGUGGAAUGCGCAGAUAUUGGGAAGAACACCGGUGGCGAAGGCGGCUUUCUGGGCCACGACUGACGCUGAGACGCGAAAGCUAGGGGAGCAAACAGGAUUAGAUACCCUGGUAGUCCCUGAGCGGGCUGGCAAGG
This 290-nucleotide ribosomal RNA is filed under the name uncultured prokaryote. Its description in RNAcentral is "partial 16S ribosomal RNA". It matches the Rfam family "Bacterial small subunit ribosomal RNA", at positions 524 to 820 of the family's 1533-position model. The record is from RNAcentral.